This 703-nucleotide ribosomal RNA is filed under the name Althenia preissii. RNAcentral describes it as "eukaryotic LSU rRNA". The stretch from base 257 to 412 matches the Rfam family "5.8S ribosomal RNA". Lineage: Eukaryota; Viridiplantae; Streptophyta; Magnoliopsida; Alismatales; Potamogetonaceae. The record is from RNAcentral.
UUUCCGUAGGUGAACCUGCGGAAGGAUCAUUGACAAGUCCCAAUAUUAUUAUGCGAACAUGUUACCUUUGAAUAUAAGUGGAAAUGUACCGUCAUUGGUCUUUUCACUUCAGCCGACUUUCACUCUCUUAUUGGGUGAUGGGGAGCUCUAACAAACCCUUCGGCACGGUCCGUGCCAAGGAAUUUAAUGAUGUCAUCGUGGUUGCAUAUUUAUGUGCCUCACGAUGACUAUGUAUAUCAUUCAAUGAUAAUUUGAUGACUCUCGGCAACGGAUAUCUUGGUCCUCGCAUCGAUGAAGAACGUAGCGAAAUGCGAUACUUGGUGUGAAUUGCAGAAUCCCGUGAACCAUCGAGUUUUUGAACGCAAGUUGCGCCCAAAGCUUUCGGGCCGAGGGCUAGCCUGCGUGGGCGUCAUGUAAUGUUGCUCACACUCUCAUUGAGUCAGCUAUUCGUUGGCUUAUGUUUGUGACAGCGUAAAUUGACCCUCCAUUCUUCUUUAGGAAUGGUGGGUUUAAGUGAAUGGCAUUCGUUAAAGUGCUAAGUUAUAACGGUUGAAGUCUCAUAGUAUAUGGCUAUCUUGCCACUAUGUGCCUACUUGUUAUUCUUGCCUUUGUCGAUCCUCCUUUUCCUUGCUAUUUUGUUAGAACGUUUUAGCUUGGCUCAUAUUGCGACCCCACGUCAGGCUGGAUCACCCGCUGAGUUUAA